This 80-nucleotide microRNA precursor is filed under the name Phlebotomus papatasi. RNAcentral describes it as "microRNA mir-263". Lineage: Eukaryota; Metazoa; Arthropoda; Insecta; Diptera; Psychodidae. The record is from RNAcentral.
AAACCCAAUUUGUCAUAUGGCAUUGCCAGAUGACAUUGCUCUGGCAUUGCUCUGGCAAUGCCAUAUGACAAAUUGGGUUC